Microcebus murinus (gray mouse lemur) is the source of this 122-nucleotide ribosomal RNA. The record is from Ensembl. NCBI's taxonomy places the organism in Eukaryota, Metazoa, Chordata, Mammalia, Primates, Cheirogaleidae.
GUCUAUGACCAUACCACCCUGAACACACCCAAGAUCUUGUCUGAUCUUGAAAGCUAAGCACGGUCAGGCCUAGUUGGUAUUUGGAUGGGAGAGAUAUGUUCUAAUACCAGUCUUUAUAAUGA